Molecule: long non-coding RNA, 739 nt
Organism: Trematomus bernacchii (emerald rockcod)
Lineage: Eukaryota; Metazoa; Chordata; Actinopteri; Perciformes; Nototheniidae
Exons: 3
Source: RefSeq, a predicted model, not a curated record
ACAAGAGACCGGCUCUGGAUAUGUCUGAGAGCAAGCUGAACUAACUUCCUGUUUCCUUUUCUCCAGAGUCUCAAGUUCUUCAGACACAAACAGAAACCUAAAACUGCUCCUCCCCCUCCUCCAUCUCAAACUGAAACUCCUGCAGCUAACGGAGCGUCAACUUUAGGAUUCAAACUCGGGUUUGGAUACCGCUUUGGGAAACCUAAAGGUCCCCGCAGUCAUCCGGAGACCUGGGUGUGAAAAUAUUGAAGCUGAUGAUGAUGAUGAUGAUGAUGAUGAUUGAGCACGUCGCUAACGGACAGCGAAGAGUUCCUUAAACACAGAAAAGAAGCUGAAGCUGCUUCCCUUUUCCUCUGUUAACAGGAAGUGCCUUUUCCAGCGCUGAUGCACUUUGUCCUGCAGAGAGGAGGCUUUAAUAACUCCUGCACCAAAGACUUGAAUGUUUAAUAAAUCUAGCUCACCUGCAGGAUAAUUAGCUUCAAGAGGCGGGUAGAGAGAGGUUUUAAUGCUGUAAUACUUAGUGUAAGAGGAGUAUAUUUUGAUAUAUAUGUGUACAUCAGUCAAUGCACCAUGCGUGUCAUUAAGUUUGGUUUCUCCGCCAUCAUUCACAUCCCUCUGUAGUAUUUAAAUUAAUAUUUUUAAAGGAUACAUUUAUUUUUGAGAGGUGAUUUCGAGGUACAGUGAAUGUGAUGUAUACUGGUUACACACAAAAUAAUUUAUUAAAAAAAGAUAGAACUUC